GGUUAAGCGAACAAGCGUACACGGUGGAUGCCCUGGCAGUCAGAGGCGAUGAAGGACGUGCUAAUCUGCGAAAAGCGCCGGUAAGGUGAUAUGAACCGUUAUAACCGGCGAUGUCCGAAUGGGGAAACCCGGUGCACUUCGGUGCAUCAUCGUUAGCUGAAUACAUAGGCUAACGAGGCGAACCGGGGGAACUGAAACAUCUAAGUACCCCGAGGAAAAGAAAUCAACCGAGAUUCCCCCAGUAGCGGCGAGCGAACGGGGAACAGCCCAGAGCCUGAAUCAGCUUGUGUGUCAGUGGAACGGUCUGGAAAGGCCGGCGAUACAGGGUGACAGCCCCGUACACGAAGGCACACAGGCUGUGAGCUCGAUGAGUAGGGCGGGACACGUGAUAUCCUGUCUGAAGAUGGGGGGACCAUCCUCCAAGGCUAAAUACUCCUGACUGACCGAUAGUGAACCAGUACCGUGAGGGAAAGGCGAAAAGAACCCCGGCGAGGGGAGUGAAACAGAACCUGAAACCGUGUACGUACAAGCAGUGGGAGCCUUCGUAAGAGGGUGACUGCGUACCUUUUGUAUAAUGGGUCAGCGACUUAUAUUCUGUAGCAAGGUUAACCGUAUAGGGGAGCCGAAGGGAAACCGAGUCUUAACCGGGCGUUAAGUUGCAGGGUAUAGACCCGAAACCCGGUGAUCUAGCCAUGGGCAGGUUGAAGGUUGGGUAACACUAACUGGAGGACCGAACCGACUAAUGUUGAAAAAUUAGCGGAUGACCUGUGGCUGGGGGUGAAAGGCCAAUCAAACCGGGAGAUAGCUGGUUCUCCCCGAAAGCUAUUUAGGUAGCGCCUCGUGAAUUCAUCUCCGGGGGUAGAGCACUGUUUCGGCUAGGGGGCCAUCCCGGCUUACCAACCCGAUGCAAACUGCGAAUACCGGAGAAUGUUAUCACGGGAGACACACGGCGGGUGCUAACGUCCGUCGUGAAGAGGGAAACAACCCAGACCGCCAGCUAAGGUCCCAAAGUCAUGGUUAAGUGGGAAACGAUGUGGGAAGGCCCAGACAGCCAGGAUGUUGGCUUAGAAGCAGCCAUCAUUUAAAGAAAGCGUAAUAGCUCACUGGUCGAGUCGGCCUGCGCGGAAGAUGUAACGGGGCUAAACCAUGCACCGAAGCUGCGGCAGCGACACUAUGUGUUGUUGGGUAGGGGAGCGUUCUGUAAGCCUGUGAAGGUGUGCUGUGAGGCAUGCUGGAGGUAUCAGAAGUGCGAAUGCUGACAUAAGUAACGAUAAAGCGGGUGAAAAGCCCGCUCGCCGGAAGACCAAGGGUUCCUGUCCAACGUUAAUCGGGGCAGGGUGAGUCGACCCCUAAGGCGAGGCCGAAAGGCGUAGUCGAUGGGAAACAGGUUAAUAUUCCUGUACUUGGUGUUACUGCGAAGGGGGGACGGAGAAGGCUAUGUCGGCCGGGCGACGGUUGUCCCGGUUUAAGCGUGUAGGCUGACUUUCCAGGCAAAUCCGGAAGGUUAAGGCUGAGGCGUGAUGACGAGGCACCACGGUGCUGAAGUGACAAAUGCCCUGCUUCCAGGAAAAGCCUCUAAGCAUCAGGUAACAUCAAAUCGUACCCCAAACCGACACAGGUGGUCAGGUAGAGAAUACCAAGGCGCUUGAGAGAACUCGGGUGAAGGAACUAGGCAAAAUGGUGCCGUAACUUCGGGAGAAGGCACGCUGACAUGUAGGUGAAGCCCCUGCGGGUGGAGCUGAAGUCAGUCGAAGAUACCAGCUGGCUGCAACUGUUUAUUAAAAACACAGCACUGUGCAAACACGAAAGUGGACGUAUACGGUGUGACGCCUGCCCGGUGCCGGAAGGUUAAUUGAUGGGGUUAUCGCAAGAGAAGCUCCUGAUCGAAGCCCCGGUAAACGGCGGCCGUAACUAUAACGGUCCUAAGGUAGCGAAAUUCCUUGUCGGGUAAGUUCCGACCUGCACGAAUGGCGUAAUGAUGGCCAGGCUGUCUCCACCCGAGACUCAGUGAAAUUGAACUCGCUGUGAAGAUGCAGUGUACCCGCGGCAAGACGGAAAGACCCCGUGAACCUUUACUACAGCUUGACACUGAACAUUGAGCCUUGAUGUGUAGGAUAGGUGGGAGGCUUUGAAGCGUGGACGCCAGUCUGCGUGGAGCCGACCUUGAAAUACCACCCUUUAAUGUUUGAUGUUCUAACCUGGCGCCGUGAUCCGGCGUGGGGACAGUGUCUGGUGGGUAGUUUGACUGGGGCGGUCUCCUCCCAAAGUGUAACGGAGGAGCACGAAGGUCAGCUAAUCCUGGUCGGACAUCAGGAGGUUAGUGCAAUGGCAUAAGCUGGCUUGACUGCGAGAGUGACGGCUCGAGCAGGUGCGAAAGCAGGUCAUAGUGAUCCGGUGGUUCUGUAUGGAAGGGCCAUCGCUCAACGGAUAAAAGGUACUCCGGGGAUAACAGGCUGAUACCGCCCAAGAGUUCAUAUCGACGGCGGUGUUUGGCACCUCGAUGUCGGCUCAUCACAUCCUGGGGCUGAAGUAGGUCCCAAGGGUAUGGCUGUUCGCCAUUUAAAGUGGUACGCGAGCUGGGUUUAGAACGUCGUGAGACAGUUCGGUCCCUAUCUGCCGUGGGCGCUGGAGAAUUGAGGGGGGCUGCUCCCAGUACGAGAGGACCGGAGUGGACGCAUCACUGGUGUUCGGGUUGUCAUGCCAAUGGCACUGCCCGGUAGCUAAAUGCGGAAGAGAUAAGUGCUGAAAGCAUCUAAGCACGAAACUUGCCCCGAGAUGAGUUCUCCCUGAGACUGUAAGUCUCCUGAAGGAACGUUGAAGACGACGACGUUGAUAGGCCGGGUGUGUAAGCGCAGCGAUGCGUUGAGCUAACCGGUACUAAUGAACCGUGAGGCUUAACCUU
Molecule: ribosomal RNA, 2902 nt
Filed under: Cronobacter sakazakii
Lineage: Bacteria; Pseudomonadati; Pseudomonadota; Gammaproteobacteria; Enterobacterales; Enterobacteriaceae
Description: 23S ribosomal RNA
Rfam family: Bacterial large subunit ribosomal RNA
Source: RNAcentral